This 436-nucleotide ribosomal RNA is filed under the name uncultured bacterium. Its description in RNAcentral is "bacterial SSU rRNA". It matches the Rfam family "Bacterial small subunit ribosomal RNA", at positions 957 to 1392 of the family's 1533-position model. The record is from RNAcentral.
UAACGCGAAGAACCUUACCAAAUCUUGACAUCCUCUGACCCCUCUAGAGAUAGAGUUUUCCCCUUCGGGGGACAGAGUGACAGGUGGUGCAUGGUUGUCGUCAGCUCGUGUCGUGAGAUGUUGGGUUAAGUCCCGCAACGAGCGCAACCCUUAAGCUUAGUUGCCAUCAUUAAGUUGGGCACUCUAAGUUGACUGCCGGUGACAAACCGGAGGAAGGUGGGGAUGACGUCAAAUCAUCAUGCCCCUUAUGAUUUGGGCUACACACGUGCUACAAUGGACAAUACAAAGGGCAGCGAAACCGCGAGGUCAAGCAAAUCCCAUAAAGUUGUUCUCAGUUCGGAUUGUAGUCUGCAACUCGACUAUAUGAAGCUGGAAUCGCUAGUAAUCGUAGAUCAGCAUGCUACGGUGAAUACGUUCCCGGGUCUUGUACACACCG